RNAcentral lists this ribosomal RNA (551 nucleotides) under uncultured bacterium. RNAcentral's name for it is "bacterial SSU rRNA". It matches the Rfam family "Bacterial small subunit ribosomal RNA", at positions 348 to 916 of the family's 1533-position model. The record is from RNAcentral.
GCAGCAGUGGGGAAUAUUGCACAAUGGGGGAAACCCUGAUGCAGCAACGCCGCGUGAGUGAUGACGGUCUUCGGAUUGUAAAACUCUGUCUUCAGGGACGAUAAUGACGGUACCUGAGGAGGAAGCCACGGCUAACUACGUGCCAGCAGCCGCGGUAAUACGUAGGUGGCAAGCGUUGUCCGGAUUUACUGGGCGUAAAGGGAGCGUAGGUGGAUAUUUAAGUGGGAUGUGAAAUACUCGGGCUUAACCUGAGUGCUGCAUUCCAAACUGGAUAUCUAGAGUGCAGGAGAGGAAAGUAGAAUUCCUAGUGUAGCGGUGAAAUGCGUAGAGAUUAGGAAGAAUACCAGUGGCGAAGGCGACUUUCUGGACUGUAACUGACACUGAGGCUCGAAAGCGUGGGGAGCAAACAGGAUUAGAUACCCUGGUAGUCCACGCCGUAAACGAUGUCGACUUGGAGGUUGUUCCCUUGAGGAGUGGCUUCCGGAGCUAACGCGUUAAGUCGACCGCCUGGGGAGUACGGCCGCAAGGUUAAAACUCAAAGGAAUUGACGG